RNAcentral lists this long non-coding RNA (1125 nucleotides) under Hordeum vulgare. RNAcentral's name for it is "long non-coding RNA (HVUL_LNC013714)". Lineage: Eukaryota; Viridiplantae; Streptophyta; Magnoliopsida; Poales; Poaceae. The record is from RNAcentral.
UUACAAGUACAUAUCUUACAAUGAUAGCAAGGCCAAAGGCACCCUUGGUGCUGCACAGUAUCUACAUUAUUUAUGAGACAUAGUGGGGCCUCGAAACUACUAAGUACUUCUACAGCGUAGAGGAACAUAGCGAGAACUCCAUACACAGGGACACUGUUGUGGACACUUCCUAGUACGCAUCAUCAGGACCUCCGUCCUCGACUUCUCCUGUAUCUGGCAUGAUACGCCAGGUGAUUACUUGGAAUGUACUCGCAAGCUCAUAAUAACCAAGCAAUGCAGCAAACAAUAGCAUGGCAACAAAUUAGGAAUAAUACCACUUGGCUUUAUAAUAUCCACUUACUCAUGUCCGGGGUUGUCCCACAACCACCGGAAUGCUUAUCAAGCAUCUCCAUUCAACUGGAGGGUUCUUCCAUCACUACUAACAUCCACACGGUUGACCAUCUACUGAGGUCUGGUCGGGUUGUCCAUUACCGUGGACACGACUAUUCGAAUAGGUUUGACAAUCUGCAGAGGUUGCACACUUUACCCACACUCUGGAGCACUGACCUCGUGAUCCCAUUCGGGUGGACCAACAUUGCUCCAAGGCAACUUGCCUGACCCGUGACUCUCUCAUCAUAUCCCCGGCAACCACUCCCUUCCGGAGUCCUGCCCUGGGUGGCCCUGUGUCCUCGUGACACAUGUGUCCUCAUAAUACCUGCCACCGUCGUGGCCAAACAAAAUUGUCCCAACCUGGGAUGGGCCCAACUCAACUUAACUGGGCUCACAGGGUUAUCACCUCCCAUCGGGCCAAGGUAGCAUGCGUGCAUAACCCUCGCUCUUUGGGGAAUAUCGGUGAGAGAUCACGCGGACAGCCCAAGUCACGGCCUUCCCAUACCGGCAAGAGGUGGUUGUAUGAUUAUGCCCGGUCAGGUGACUCAUGAUCAUCCACUAUGCCAUAGUAACCAUAGUGAUUUAUAAUCAUAAGAAUAUAUCUCUAUAUGAUAGUUUAUUAAAUGAUUAUUUUUUAACAAGUUAAGCAAGUAUAAUGCAUGAAGAUGUGAGUUAUGCUAUGCAAAACUACAUCACAUGGAUAUGAUGGCUUGCCUUGAUCAGUGGGGUUGUUCAAACACUCCUGGUCUUCAAAGU